GGGUCUGUAGCUCUAACUGGAGAGAGCGCUGGACUCCAAAUCCAGGGGUUGGGGGUUCGAAUCCCUCCAGGCCCG
This 75-nucleotide transfer RNA is filed under the name Bacillota bacterium. RNAcentral describes it as "tRNA-Trp". It matches the Rfam family "tRNA". Rfam says of the family: Transfer RNA (tRNA) molecules are approximately 80 nucleotides in length. Their secondary structure includes four short double-helical elements and three loops (D, anti-codon, and T loops). RNAcentral also lists the same sequence under 1 other name. Lineage: Bacteria; Bacillati; Bacillota. The record is from RNAcentral.